GACGAAGGUGGCGAGCGUUGUUCGGAAUCACUGGGCAUAAGGCGCACGUAGGCGGUGUCGUAAGUCGGGUGUGAAAUCCCUCGGCCUAACCGAGGAACUGCGCCCGAUACUGCGAUGCUUGAGGACCAGAGGGGUGCAUGGAAUUUCCGGUGGAGCGGUGAAAUGCGUUGAUAUCGGAAGGAACUCCGGCGGCGAAAGCGAUGCACUGGCUGGUUUCUGACGCUGAGGUGCGAAAGCCAGGGGAGCAAACGGG
RNAcentral lists this ribosomal RNA (253 nucleotides) under uncultured bacterium. RNAcentral describes it as "partial 16S ribosomal RNA". It matches the Rfam family "Bacterial small subunit ribosomal RNA", at positions 524 to 776 of the family's 1533-position model. The record is from RNAcentral.